Molecule: ribosomal RNA, 375 nt
Filed under: uncultured organism
Description: bacterial SSU rRNA
Rfam family: Archaeal small subunit ribosomal RNA
Source: RNAcentral
CCAGCACCCCGAGUGGUCGGGACGAUUAUUGGGCCUAAAGCAUCCGUAGCCGGUUUUACAAGUCCUCCGUUAAAUCCAACUGCUUAACAGAUGGGCCGCGGAGGAUACUAUAAGACUAGGAGGCAGGAGAGGCAAGCGGUACUCAGUGGGUAGGGGUAAAAUCCGUUGAUCCAUUGAAGACCACCAGUGGCGAAGGCGGCUUGCCAGAAUGCGCUCGACGGUGAGGGAUGAAAGCUGGGGGAGCAAACCGGAUUAGAUACCCGGGUAGUCCCAGCUGUAAACGAUGCAGACUCGGUGAUGGACUAGCUUUAUGCUAGUCCAGUGCCGCAGGGAAGCCGUUAAGUCUGCCGCCUGGGUAGUACGAUCGCAAGACUG